Daphnia magna is the source of this 1529-nucleotide long non-coding RNA. RefSeq lists it as uncharacterized. The record is from RefSeq and is a predicted model, not a curated record. Lineage: Eukaryota; Metazoa; Arthropoda; Branchiopoda; Diplostraca; Daphniidae. The transcript has 4 exons.
ACCACUCCACUGCUUGACUCAACAUGGCGACAAUCAAGAAUCGUUACAUCCUACCACGAAACUUGGGAGAAUAGUUUACAAGAUCAUUUUUACUUCAAAUACGAUUCAAUGUUUCGUGAAGACCUGGCGAGCCUUUGUACAACAUCAUCAGGAGAGCAUCGGGCUUUCCAGGGGAUUCCAUGACAUUAUCGAGCUAGAAAUUUCGACAAUAGUCGUCAAUAGAAAAAGCGGUUUGACGCCAAAGAGCUACUUCAAAUGCAACUAUACAGAUUGUCUUGGCCCACUGUCAAAGCGCUUCUCGCAUCUGCGUCCGUCGAUCGCCCACUUUUUGCAAUAUCCCUCUAAAAUGCGCCACUACGGCGACUAGCAAGGAGAACCGCUCACGAGCAAGCAUCCAACAUAAUUUCUUCACACCUAAAGAAAUUUAGUUGCAUUGCUUAGCAUGAACAUGCUGGGAAAACAAACUGGAAGAGACCUGAUGACUAUCCAUUUUAUGCUUCAGGAAUUUACAAAACGUGCGUGAGAAAAUGGGCAGUCGACUUUGCCCAUAUAACGCAGUAACCUUGAAAAACCGUUACCCUCCAUGUUUUUGUUUGCCGACACAGCAUAUCAGCAUAUUAGGCAUAAUCGGUGCACGGAAUAUAACGUUACAAAAAACGUUGUCCGGAGAAAAUUGCGUUUUGUCGAAGCUGUAGGUCAUCACGUCGUGCACUAAUUUUAGAGCACUUUAUUCCCGUUGUCGAUGCUGACUACGAUGGAAUGACGGCUUGAAACUUUCGAUUAGAAAGACUUUUCAUCUGCCUAUGGGAGUCACGCUCUUGACCUGUCUAUUCACUUCGAACUCAGCGGCAUCAUUCUCAUCAUCAGACUCCCAUCAAUCUUGUUACCAGAGGUUGUUGUCCUUUUCGUACGUCCGCACUAUAUCAGUAAGUAGAAAACUGGCUAUCGUAUCUUUUGUGACGAAUUUAAAAAGAAAUUUUUUGCAGUGCUAACGGAUCUAGAAUGUUUUUUAAGUGAUAGAAAAAAAAAAACUACACGCAUAAUCUCUUUCAGCUUAAUUAAUUUUUUCAUGAGCCUAUACUCGGAAAAUCAACUUGAGAUGCCAUUUUGCUGAUUCAUCAUCAAAUUAUUAUGCAAAAGACCAUUUACAAAUUACAUGGAAACAUUAUCGAACUGUAAGUGCUCAUUUUCAACAUCUUUUCCCCUCACCGAUGCCGAUAAUUGCUGUUAGUGAAGCAGUAUUUUUCACGGUAAUCGGAACAUUCAGUAUCGAAAGAAGCAAAGAGUGCCUUGUAUCUGGCGAAAUAAUCAUUCCACAAAUUUAUCCCAAAAUCAGCAACUUUAAGUCAACGAAUACGUCAGAUCCCUUGAAAACUAUCAAUCUUUAGUUUCAAGCGCAUCUUGUAUGAUCCAGUGCAUACAACGCAUCCCUUUAAUGCUCGAAAUUAAAGGGAUGCAACAUUACAAAACACAUGGAAUUAAAAUGUAUCGUUCUGUAACAAUUAUCAAUACAGUUCAUGUACAGAAUA